GAUGAAGAACGUAGCGAAAUGCGAUAAGUAGUGUGAAUUGCAGAAUUCAGUGAAUCAUCGAAUCUUUGAACGCCCAUUGCGCCGUCUAGUAAUCUGGGAGGCAUGCCUGUUUGAGCGUCAUUAAACCUCUCUCAAGUAUGAUUACUUGGAUGUGAAGGAAGAGUACCUUAAACUUAAGGAGUGUUCUCCUUUGAAAUUGAUUAGCAGAUGGUAAUGUUAUUAAAUCCCUGAUGUUGUAAGAAAUAACAGAGGUUUUGUAGACUAUUAUCUAGCUUUAAAUUAUAAUUUUUAUUAUGGUUGACCUCAAAUCAGGUAAGGAUACCCGCUGAACUUAAGCAUAUCAAUAAGCGGAGGA
Molecule: unclassified non-coding RNA, 355 nt
Filed under: soil metagenome
Description: partial contains 5.8S ribosomal RNA, internal transcribed spacer 2, and large subunit ribosomal RNA
Rfam family: 5.8S ribosomal RNA (bases 1-120)
Source: RNAcentral